CCUACGGGAGGCAGCAGUGGGGAAUAUUGGACAAUGGGGGGAACCCUGAUCCAGCCAUGCCGCGUGUGUGAAGAAGGCCCUCGGGUUUUAAAGCACUUUCAGUGAGGAAGAACGCCUGGUGGUUAAUACCCAUCAGGAAAGACAUCACUCACAGAAGAAGCACCGGCUAACUCCGUGCCAGCAGCCGCGGUAAUACGGAGGGUGCGAGCGUUAAUCGGAAUUACUGGGCGUAAAGCGCGCGUAGGUGGCUUGAUAAGCCGGUUGUGAAAGCCCCGGGCUCAACCUGGGAACGGCAUCCGGAACUGUCAAGCUAGAGUGCAGGAGAGGAAGGUAGAAUUCCCGGUGUAGCGGUGAAAUGCGUAGAGAUCGGGAGGAAUACCAGUGGCGAAGGCGGCCUUCUGGACUGACACUGACACUGAGGUGCGAAAGCGUGGGUAGCAAACAGGAUUAGAUACCCCUGUAGUC
This 465-nucleotide ribosomal RNA is filed under the name Vreelandella stevensii. Its description in RNAcentral is "partial 16S ribosomal RNA". It matches the Rfam family "Bacterial small subunit ribosomal RNA", at positions 338 to 795 of the family's 1533-position model. The record is from RNAcentral. Lineage: Bacteria; Pseudomonadati; Pseudomonadota; Gammaproteobacteria; Oceanospirillales; Halomonadaceae.